This is a long non-coding RNA of Sus scrofa (pig), 2984 nucleotides long. RefSeq lists it as uncharacterized. Lineage: Eukaryota; Metazoa; Chordata; Mammalia; Artiodactyla; Suidae. The record is from RefSeq and is a predicted model, not a curated record.
UGCCACAGCAGGAACUCCUAUUUUCUAAUUCUUUAAUAUCUACUUUUAUCUUUAUACAUUUCUUCCUUUUACUGUAUUAGAUGCAGUAAUGCCAGUUCAUGCCUAAUGUAGCAUUUUGUAAAUUGUAUAUCAUUUCUAUUGUCCUCCCUAUGAGAAAUUUUAAAAGAGAAUGAAAUUUUAGUGAGAAGAAAUGGAAUAAAGUCCUUAAUUUUUUUCCUUUAAGUAAAUAUAAUUAUAAAUUUAACUAUCUUUUGAUGUUUGAUUUUGGAAUUGUUUCCUAAGCAACAAACCUAAUAUAACAAUAGGAGUAAAAAAAAAGAUGACUUUUUACUUAUUGACUUUCUUUAAAAUGGCCCUUAUUUCUUAUUAAAUAAUUAUACAAUGUCAAGCUAUAAUAUGAAGUUCAAAGAAAAAUACAUUUCCAGUUUCUCUUCCUGCCGAAAAGUUGCUUUAUCUAUUAGUUUAAUUGCUUAGCUACUUAGUAAGUAUACCUUGUUUGUGUGUGAUUUUGAUAUUAUGGGCCACUCCUUUCACUUCAGUUCAAUCCAACUGUCCUUUACUAUGUGCUUGCUGACUGUCUUUAGGUGCAAGAGAGAAAAAAUGCAGUGAGCUCUCUCCACACCUUCGCAUUCCCACCCCAAGGAGCUCACAGCCUGUUCUGUUUGGUACAGAUUGUUCUUUAAGCCGCACUCAGACUUUGCCAAAAUAUGUGCCACAAGACAGGACAGGGAGAAAAGAUUGCUUAACCCAGAUCAUUUGCCAUAAUUGUAAAAACAAGGAACAAAAGUUAAGCAGAUUAACAUGCAUGCUCAGUAGUCAGAAGGAUCCUCACAGCAGUAUCGCUUGUAGCAACCCUCAGGAGCCUGAAUGAAGCUCUUGUUUGACUCUCUGAAUCCUGCUGGUAUGGAUUUCCCAGAUUGUAUUUCCCCCGAGAAGCCUUGGUCCUCCCUGUUCUGCCAAGGAAAGCCAAAGCUGGCUGGAAUGCAGAUGACCCCCACGACCACCUUGGAAGCCAGCAAAGCCUCCUUCAGCCCAGCUGCCCAGGAAGGAGCCCUACUGACCAUGCAGUUCACUGGGUCCUAUUCUGUGAACAAGAAGUAACUCUACGGUUUCUGGAACUGUUCCUCAAUUAACUCAUUCCACCUCUUCCCAUCUCACCAGUCAUCAGUUUGGAAAACCUGCAUUACAUUUCUGACACUUACUAGGUAAAAGCGUUAAAUUAUAUUGAGGAUUCCAUGUGUGUUUAUUUCCUGCACUUCCCAGUUCCCAUUCCAGUCACCUGGGGAUGCAUCCACGAGCAAAAUCAAUGAAGUCAUGUCUACCAAUUUCUCCACUGAAGGAUGGGGUGGUACAUGAAUGGUUUUGUAUGAUCAAUAGUUGAACACAGGUCAGUUUAAUAAACUGAUUUCCAGUGCUUCUCAAGUUCAGAUAUGGCCCUGAGAGAAAGGUGAGCCCUUCUGUUAAGCCCUUCUGUUAACUGUUUUUUUCUUCUUUCUCCUCCUUCAAUUUUCCCAAACAUCACCUUGACCUUCCUCCACCACACACACACAUACACACACACCUGUCUUUGUAAACCUCAUGCAAUUAAGUGCUUAAUUAAUAUCGUGUGAAAAUAUUUGUAUGUUUCACUUAUCUGUUGCCGUGUAACAAACAGCCCCAUAACAUAGUGGCUUAAAACAGCCAUUUUAUUUGCUCAGGACUGGGUGGAUCAGGAAUUUGGGCUAGGCUCAGCUGGGUGGUCCUACUUCAAAUGACAUUACUUAUGGGGCUGCAUUGGUAGGAAUUUGGUCAAGGCUGGAGUGUUCAAGGUAUCUUCAAGCCUCUCUCCACUGGUCUCUCUCCAGCACAGCAGGGGGCCUUCUUACAGGACAGCUGACUUCCAAGACGGAAGACCAGCCUUGGAAAUUACACAUCACUUCUGCCACAUUUUAUUGGUCAAAAUAGGUCCCAGAGCCAGCGUAGAUUCAAAGGAAGAGGAAACAUAGGCCACCUCUUGUUGGGGGAAUGGCAAGGUCACAAUGCAAAUGUGCAUGUGGGAGAGAAGACAUCAUUGCAGCCAGUCAUCUUUGGGAGCAUGAACUACUGUACAGACCUGUUUUAUGUUAGUUGGUGACUCACUGUCACCCCAGCUGUGGUUAGUAGUAACGAAUGUAGGAUUAAUUUAUUCAUUUUCUCUCUGUGUGUCUUUCUGCUUUUUACUAAUUAGUACCUCAGCUAUAAAGGAUAUUUUGAACUAUAAUCCUGAGUUCCAUCAUUAUCUGUCAGUAUUUUCUCUACCACGGCACAAGAGGUGAUUCUGGCUAGCUUAAACAGAGGGAGUUUUUGUUGGUUCACCAGUUAAUUGAUGGAAGAUAGGAAAGUUGGAGAACUAGAUUCAGAAUAUGGACGAAACGUAAGGAAGGCUUGGUGGAAGGCAUAGCCAUGUUGACCCUUCUGUGACACUCUGGGCGGGACACUGCUGCUGGUGCUGUACACACUGCACAGUAGACUGCUGCCAUGGGGCUCUCACUGCCAUUGUGCCUGUGCCCCAGGCUUUGAUUCUUCCUCUGUGGCUCCCAGUCCUGAGUAGGAACAAUCCAUUGACAAUCUGUAUGUUUCUUCAUUGACCAGGAAGAGGGGAGAUGCUUCCUUCCAGGUCAAUGGUUGUGGCUGAGGGUAUUCUGCCUCUUACCUAGACUUACAUGAUGGGGUGUACCCCAGAUACAAAGAGUUCAGUACCUAGUACUGAACAUCUAGUAGUCAUUACUGACAAUAGUAAAUUGUCCGACCAGCUCCUGCUACUUCUGUGACCUCCACACCUAUUCACUCUGCUGCAGGCUCAGUGCAAAACACCAUGCACACUCCUGCCUCAGGGCCUUUGUACAUGCCAUUUUCACAUCUAAAGUGUUCUCCAAAUAUCUGCAAGAUGCCUUCCCACCUUAAUCAAAUCUUUACACAAACAUCACACUCUCAUAAGGCCUUUUAAUGCCAUUCUAUUUAUUUAU